UUUUCGCUCCUAAUUACUUUAAUACCAUUCACACCUAGUUUCACUUAUCUUACUUACCAUACAAAUUGUAUUCAAAUUUGAUUUUUAAUAAAAUUUGUAUGGUGAGUUGGAUUAGCAAAAUUAAAUGUGAUGAUAUUAGAGUGAUUCGGAGUGAGAA
RNAcentral lists this microRNA precursor (157 nucleotides) under Lotus japonicus. Its description in RNAcentral is "miR11170 stem-loop (lja-MIR11170)". Lineage: Eukaryota; Viridiplantae; Streptophyta; Magnoliopsida; Fabales; Fabaceae. The record is from miRBase by way of RNAcentral.